RNAcentral lists this ribosomal RNA (253 nucleotides) under uncultured bacterium. Its description in RNAcentral is "partial 16S ribosomal RNA". It matches the Rfam family "Bacterial small subunit ribosomal RNA", at positions 524 to 776 of the family's 1533-position model. The record is from RNAcentral.
UAUGUAGGGUGCGAGCGUUAAUCGGAAUUACUGGGCGUAAAGCGUGCGCAGGCGGUUUUGUAAGCCAGAUGUGAAAGUCCUGGGCUUAACCUGGGGACUGCAUUUGAUACUGGGUUGCUUGAAUUCGGGAGAGGAUAGCGGAAUUCCCAGUGUAGAGGUGAAAUUCGUAGAUAUUGGGAAGAACACCGGUGGCGAAGGCGGCUAUCUGGACCGACAUUGACGCUGAGGCGCGAAAGCGUGGGGAGCAAACAGG